UACAGGGGGUGCAAACGUUGCUCGGAAUCAUUGGGCGUAAAGCGCACGUAGGCGGUUUGUUAUGUCGGAUGUGAAAGCCCUUGGCUCAACUGAGGAAGUGCAUCCGAAACUGGCAAGCUAGAGUACUAAAGAGGGUCGCGGAAUUCCCGGUGUAGAGGUGAAAUUCGUAGAUAUCGGGAGGAACACCGGUGGCGAAGGCGGCGACCUGGGUAGAUACUGACACUGAGGCACGAAAGCGUGGGGAGCAAACAGG
Molecule: ribosomal RNA, 253 nt
Filed under: uncultured bacterium
Lineage: Bacteria
Description: partial 16S ribosomal RNA
Rfam family: Bacterial small subunit ribosomal RNA
Source: RNAcentral